Molecule: unclassified non-coding RNA, 414 nt
Filed under: fungal sp.
Lineage: Eukaryota; Fungi
Description: partial internal transcribed spacer region
Rfam family: Eukaryotic small subunit ribosomal RNA (bases 1-46)
Source: RNAcentral
AAGUCGUAACAAGGUUUCCGUAGGUGAACCUGCGGAAGGAUCAUUAAUACGCUUUUGUUUGUAACAAAACAAAACGUUUUAAACUCCAAAAGAAUUCGUGGAAAUAUAACUUCCGGAUGCGAAUGUUGGGAACAGAGUAAAAUCGGUUCUUUGAAAAAGGGACUUCAAGCAAUUGACACUUCAGAGUAGAGCAGUGAGGUGAAAUUCUCUUUCGCGAGAGAGUUUGGUUCUGAAAAACAUUUGUAUCCGGUUAUCAUAAUCUGUUCUACAAACUCCAAAAUAUCAAACAAUAAACCCCAUGUACAACAACUUGAACUAAACAUUUUUUUGUUGUCUCGCACUUGUGUGAGAAGAUACUACAAAGAAAAAACCUGAACUUAAGAACAACUCUUAACAACGGAUAUCUUGGUUCUC